GUUACACUUAUGUUGCCUUGUGUUACUCGUGCGUCCUUGUGCUUCCCGGUUUGUGUUUUUUCACUUAACUUGUUACCUUGUUUUUGUAUUUGAUUAGCUUUUAGAAAUAAAGCUCUCUUUUUGUUUAACCUCAUCGGGUGUUCUGCAUCCACCUCUUCACCUAGUCGUAACAAAUAUGGCAUCAAACGUGCGGGUGUGUGGCCCAGUGGUCAGACGGCAGGCAGCCAGAGGUUUGGCUCGUUUGGAAGGACCAGCUCAGGCCUGAUUACUGGGCCGUCCUCGCAGGAGGAGUUCUCAAGUCCGAAAGAUUAGGAGCUCUUCCAGAAACCACAGUGAGAGGAGAGAACAUCAACAAAAAGGGCUUCGGUAAAACAUUUUUCAAUUUAGAUUGUAGUUGCAACUGAAAUAUUUAAUUGGCAAAGAAAGAAAGUGAUGCUCCAGUUCAGUUAUUCUGGAGAUCCAAUGAGAGCAGCACUUGGACCAUUGAGAAGAGACUGCUUUUCUCCUAAGCCCUGGCCUGAAGGAAGAGGAAAAAAACUUGUGACUGAACGGCAACAGAUUCAAGUUUCUAAGCAGCUGAGAAGAUGUGCUUGGAGCACUGAAUGCAGUGUCACUCUCUUUCCUCAACAACACUGCAGAUGACGUGUUGAGUUAGUCACAACCAGCAUCACUGUUUGAUUUUCAAAGGUUGUCUUAAAAAUAUAAAUAUGUUUUUAAAUUAUGCUUAAAAAUGGGAAGCACAUUCCCACAUUUUGUUUAUAUGGGAAUACAAUGUUGAGAGCAUGAAGGUGAUUGGCUGGACGGAGAAUAGAAGACAAGACCAGAGAGCAAUACGCACUAUACGGUUUUCACAAUAAAUUCAGACAUUUGUUAUUUUAAAAACAAACAUUAAAUCUCACAAAAACAAGUGGACAUUUUUUCUUAUUUCCUCUUUUACCGCUGCAAUAUUUAACCUUUUUCAAAUACAACCAUCUUGUAUAACACACAGCCUGGGCAAGUUUUGAGCAAAUGCUUAAAAAGUGCCGUUGUUUUAUAGAUUGUUGUUUACUAUAUAGAGAUGUCAAAUGUUUUUCAGUGAUGAUAGUAUCUGCCAUUUAUCCACUCCCGAAAAUGUAAGAUAUUGGGUGAAAUGCUUAUUUUGGCAAGGAAACUUCAAUGAAAGAAACACAGAGAGGGUUUUCCUCUCUAUUGUUUCACUUGUGAAUCACACGGUAUUGCAAUUAACUAUUGCAAUUGGUGUCUGAUAUGUACUUCCAAUAAAUGUAACAUUAACAAUCCCACUCAAUGGUAAAGUCAUGGUGUUCUUCAGCACAAGGCUUAUUCUCAAUUCCCUUAACCUUGAAUGGGGAACUUCCCCCCCUCUGGAGUCAGAUAAUGUUUGGUAAGAUUCCAUAUUUGAUUAUCACCAACAUUUAUUACCACCAUCUCCACAGCUUCAGUAUCUGCUGUGCAAUUCUUGUAUUCAGUGGUAGUGAAUAAGCCUUAUAGUAACACAUUCCACCCAUAAUAAUACAUGGAUGAAAAUGAAAAGAAAUCUAUUGUUUUUUAAAAUGUAAAUCACACUGGAACUUGUAAUUUUAACUAAAUUACCAACAUCAUACAUUAAUUUUAUAAUUACUAAAUCAACCGUUCACUUUGUCCUUUUAGCAACAGGCUACUUUUAGAAUGCCAUGUGUAAAAUAAAGCAUGCCGUUCAAGCUUUCAUCUGUGCACAGGGAGGACACAACACAAUGAAAGUAAUAAACACAUGCCACAUUACACAAAGAAUGGAUCUUUGUAAAAUAGUGAUUGUGUUUUGAAACUAUACCCUUCAAAUAAUCACAUUUCAAUUGCGCCAUAAGGAGGAAAAACAA
This is a long non-coding RNA of Cottoperca gobio, 1853 nucleotides long. RefSeq lists it as uncharacterized. NCBI's taxonomy places the organism in Eukaryota, Metazoa, Chordata, Actinopteri, Perciformes, Bovichtidae. The record is from RefSeq and is a predicted model, not a curated record. The transcript has 4 exons.